AGUAAAAGACUCCCCUUUGAGAACAAAGUACAUUAUAACCAGAAAGAACUCGCAACAGCACACAAGCUAACAUUCAUGUCAAAAAUGAUACUAUAUUGGAAUCACAUGAGUCAAAGUCGACAGUUGUAUACGUGAAUUGAACAGCAGAAAGAUAAGAUCACCACCAACCACCAACCACCAUCUGUAUCACUAUCAGCAUGGAUGCUGUCACAAGAAACUUUUUGAGUGCAUGAUUUUGGGCAAAGGAUAGUCAGCAACAACUGCUAGUAGAAGCAUCAGCUUGUGGUGGCUUCUGCUUAAAAAUGUUCCUUUCCACACCUGCUGAACCUUCAGCCAAGAGGCUCGGUGUAUCCAAGAUCUGCAUCAGUGAUGUAAAUAAUUAUUUGUCAUUUUUAACGGACAAGAAGUAGCAUAUUGUGAAAACAAGGGUACAAAAGAUGUAAGUUCAAACUCCGGUAAUUCCUGCUCGUAAUGUUUCCUUUUUCCUCAUUAAAUGGUCUGUGCUUCCUCUAAAACUCUAGAACAAUCUCAAAAGCAAGGAAGAGUAGAUCACAAGUAUUUUAUCCAAAACAUGGCCAAGGAAAGUGGGAAAGAGAGAGGAAAAAAAAAAGAGGAAAACCCAAUGGACGAAACCAACAAAAGAAGGUUCAAGCUAGAUGACAGGCAGUGCUGCCUAGAAAUUUCGCAUGGGUAUCUCAAGUUUCCCAAGACUUCAAGCUCGGGAAAGCAUAGAGACAAUAUACUAGAAAACUAGAAUAGGCUGAUUACUCAAUUGGAUUUUUAAAAAAAGUCUCACUUAAAUGUCAUUUUAUGGACCACAUAAUAAUGGGAAACCUUACAAUAAUAAUGCUAAAAAAUUGCAAGAAUUGUUGUACCAUCACAUGAUUGCAAGAAUUAAAGUACCAUCACACAUAAGAUUGUCCUCAGAAGAGGGUUGAAAAGCUAUGUUUUGGCUAAUGUGAGCAGGGUGCCUUUUUCUAGGGGGCAUGCCAAUGAUUAUCGUGGCAUUUUGCAUUGUGUCACAAGUGUCUCUGCUUAGCCAGCACUUUAAAAUUAUGAAAACAGAGCAUCCAGGUAACACAUAGUAAUCAAGCCUUGUACCCACAAUGUUCUCUGACUGAAGCUCUAAGACAAGUUAUGUUCUCAGUUUUUUCAGACCUUUUAGCCAACUCCAAAACUGAAACAUUUCAAUUUUUCCAAUCAACUAUUCAAAACUCAGAUUCCUUUUCAGAAAAUUAUUGGCCAAUUUAUGUCCUUUUAAUCCUAUGACAAUUUAUUUUAUCAAAAUUGUUAGGUUGCAAGAAAUUUAGGAGAAAGGUAGGCCUUUGCAUGGUAUGAUGUCUUGUGUAGUUUGAGACUUUUAAGGGGAAAGGGGCAGAGGGGUUUGUAUUAUAGAUUAAAUUGCUUAAAUAGUGGGUGUGCAAGAUUUGAGCUCGAAUUUCUCUUUUAUAAGGUAUCAAGCCCAAAAUCUUUCAUGUUUUAAAUUUGAUUCUCCAUCCAUCUCCUAUAAAUUUGUAGAUCAACCACCCGUGGGUGCAAGUUUUAUGGAUCUAUCAUGAACUUUUCAAUUUUAAGAACCUUAAUGAUUUUCAUAGAAAAUAUGGAUUAAAUGACUGUAUUAUUUUUCAUUUAAAAACUUAGCAUUGAAACAAGCAACACAUAUCAACAAGAGGACUAAAAAAAUUAUAACACUGAAUAUAGAAAUAAAAAAUUUAACAAAAUACAAAAAUAGAAAACUAAUAAUAAAACAUAAAUACACAAAACAAAAAAUAAAAUAAAUAUAUAAAUAAGAGAUGAGAUAAAAGUGAGAAAGAGAUUGAUGGAUGGAUGCGAUCAAAUCAUGCAUCGAUAUAUUUGGCAUUGCUCAUUUCUUUAUUUGCAUUCCUAAAUUGUUAAAUAUAAUCAUGUGUUUGAUUGACUUGAACCUUUUUAGGUCUCAAAGAAAAUUCAGGAGUAUAUGCAUGUAGAAAAAGGGGGUGUAUAUUUAUGAUGAUAGAAUGGGAAAUUGAUUGGAAUUAAGAAAAGUGUUUAAAUGACAAGACAACAUAUUAGUGCAGUUUGAUUGGAACUGAGGAAAGACAUCUAAACAAGGCAAGCUGACAUGUUAAUAAUGUCUUUUUAUUAUUCUAAUUUUAAAUGUCAGUCAGACAAGGCCAAAGACUUGAGAGGGAUUACACAUGUAUCUUUUUACCAUGUGUAUUUGGGAAAAAAUGAAAUCAGAUCUAGAUGGAAUGUUCAAAAAUUUAUUAAUUCCAUUCUUAUUUCACCAACAUUUAGGAUGGUGCAUGUUAAGUUGUC
Molecule: long non-coding RNA, 2298 nt
Filed under: Elaeis guineensis (African oil palm)
Lineage: Eukaryota; Viridiplantae; Streptophyta; Magnoliopsida; Arecales; Arecaceae
Description: long non-coding RNA (EGUI_LNC077055)
Source: RNAcentral